GACGAACGCUGGCGGCGUGCCUAAUACAUGCAAGUAGAACGCACAGUUUAUACCGUAGCUUGCUACACCAUAAACUGUGAGUUGCGAACGGGUGAGUAACGCGUAGGUAACCUGCCUGGUAGCGGGGGAUAACUAUUGGAAACGAUAGCUAAUACCGCAUAAUAUUGAUUAUUGCAUGAUAAUUGAUUGAAAGAUGCUAUUGCAUCACUACCAGAUGGACCUGCGUUGUAUUAGCUAGUAGGUGAGGUAACGGCUCACCUAGGCGACGAUACAUAGCCGACCUGAGAGGGUGAUCGGCCCCCCUGGGACUGGGACACGGCCCAGACUCCUACGGGAGGCAGCAGUAGGGAAUCUUCGGCCAUGGACGAAAGUCUGACCGAGCAACGCCGCGUGAGUGAAGAAGGUUUUCGGAUCGUAAAGCUCUGUUGUAAGAGAAGAACGGGUGUGAGAGUGGAAAGUUCACACUGUGACGGUAUCUUACCAGAAAGGGACGGCUAACUACGUG
This 505-nucleotide ribosomal RNA is filed under the name uncultured bacterium. RNAcentral describes it as "partial 16S ribosomal RNA". It matches the Rfam family "Bacterial small subunit ribosomal RNA", at positions 28 to 507 of the family's 1533-position model. The record is from RNAcentral.